UACGGGGGGGGCAAGCGUUGUUCGGAAUUACUGGGCGUAAAGGGCUCGUAGGUGGCCAACUAAGUCAGACGUGAAAUCCCUCGGCUUAACCGGGGAACUGCGUCUGAUACUGGAUGGCUCGAGUUUGGGAGAGGGAUGCGGAAUUCCAGGUGUAGCGGUGAAAUGCGUAGAUAUCUGGAGGAACACCGGUGGCGAAGGCGGCAUCCUGGACCAACACUGACACUGAGGAGCGAAAGCCAGGGGAGCAAACGGG
RNAcentral lists this ribosomal RNA (253 nucleotides) under uncultured bacterium. RNAcentral describes it as "partial 16S ribosomal RNA". It matches the Rfam family "Bacterial small subunit ribosomal RNA", at positions 524 to 776 of the family's 1533-position model. The record is from RNAcentral.